UUGAAAUUAAUGUGCUGGUAUAAUUAAGGUGCUUUUUAAAGGUAUCAGAAAGUGAAAACAUGGCGCCAGAUAACGAGUAGGAGUUCCAGCCCACAAGCUGGAAUGUGGAUGAUCACCCCGGGUCCCCACGUGCUGAAGGCUACCGGUGGUUGGUGGUGGUGGUGGUGGUCCCGUUGCUCUCUCUCCCAUCUUGUGUGUCCUUUGGGGAAGGGGGAGGGGAGAAGGGUGAAAGAAUUACUUCCAGGGCACAUCAACUCGUUUCCUCAUCACCCUAACUGCCUCUCCGGCACCACUUCCCAGCCCCUCCACAGGCUGCCAACGGUCCCACCGCCGAGCCCGCAGGGUGAACGUGUUUGUGCACAGCGCCGGACUUCUUCUGUUAGGAUCCUAUAAAGCAAACAGAAACUGGACAAGAAUAGAUGAUAGAGAAACAGAAGGUCUGAAGAUGGAUGAGCCCUGUAGACCAUGCAGGAAAAGCCCUCACAUGCACAGCAGCAGCCACCACUCCCCUGCAUGUUUCUGGCUACCACACACCUAAUCAGUCCUGAUUAGAUGCACUGUGAGGGACGAGGAAGCCAGAAGUUUCCUUUGAGAAGUUCUGAUGACAGGACAGAAGAAAGCAAUGGGCUCCCUUAAAUAAAGCCUUCAUCAGGCUCUGGGAAGAAA
Maylandia zebra (zebra mbuna) is the source of this 666-nucleotide non-coding RNA. NCBI's taxonomy places the organism in Eukaryota, Metazoa, Chordata, Actinopteri, Cichliformes, Cichlidae. The record is from RefSeq and is a predicted model, not a curated record.